GAGGUUGUGGCUCAGAGGUAGAGUGUUUGCCUAGCAUGCAUGAGGCACUGGGUUCGAUCCUCAGCACUACA
Molecule: transfer RNA, 71 nt
Filed under: Marmota monax (woodchuck)
Lineage: Eukaryota; Metazoa; Chordata; Mammalia; Rodentia; Sciuridae
Description: tRNA.Ala
Rfam family: tRNA (bases 6-66)
About the family: Transfer RNA (tRNA) molecules are approximately 80 nucleotides in length. Their secondary structure includes four short double-helical elements and three loops (D, anti-codon, and T loops). Further hydrogen bonds mediate the characteristic L-shaped molecular structure. tRNAs have two regions of fundamental functional importance: the anti-codon, which is responsible for specific mRNA codon recognition, and the 3' end, to which the tRNAs corresponding amino acid is attached (by aminoacyl-tRNA synthetases). tRNAs cope with the degeneracy of the genetic code in two manners: having more than one tRNA (with a specific anti-codon) for a particular amino acid; and 'wobble' base-pairing, i.e. permitting non-standard base-pairing at the 3rd anti-codon position.
Source: RNAcentral